Molecule: ribosomal RNA, 856 nt
Filed under: uncultured bacterium
Lineage: Bacteria
Description: bacterial SSU rRNA
Rfam family: Bacterial small subunit ribosomal RNA
Source: RNAcentral
GAAGAGGACAGUGGGAACUCCAUGUGUAGCGGUGAAAUGCGUAGAUAUAUGGAAGAACACCAGUGGCGAAGGCGGCUGUCUGGUCUGUAACUGACGCUGAGGCUCGAAAGUAUGGGUAGCAAACAGGAUUAGAUACCCUGGUAGUCCAUACCGUAAACGAUGAAUGCUAAGUGUUGGAGGGUUUCCGCCCUUCAGUGCUGCAGCUAACGCAUUAAGCAUUCCGCCUGGGGAGUACGGCCGCAAGGCUGAAACUCAAAGGAAUUGACGGGGGCCCGCACAAGCGGUGGAGCAUGUGGUUUAAUUCGAAGCUACGCGAAGAACCUUACCAGGUCUUGACAUACUAUGCAAAUCUAAGAGAUUAGACGUUCCCUUCGGGGACAUGGAUACAGGUGGUGCAUGGUUGUCGUCAGCUCGUGUCGUGAGAUGUUGGGUUAAGUCCCGCAACGAGCGCAACCCUUAUUAUCAGUUGCCAGCAUUAAGUUGGGCACUCUGGUGAGACUGCCGGUGACAAACCGGAGGAAGGUGGGGAUGACGUCAAAUCAUCAUGCCCCUUAUGACCUGGGCUACACACGUGCUACAAUGGAUGGUACAACGAGUUGCGAACUCGCGAGAGUAAGCUAAUCUCUUAAAGCCGAUCUCAGUUCGGAUUGUAGGCUGCAACUCGCCUACAUGAAGCUGGAAUCGCUAGUAAUCGCGGAUCAGCAUGCCGCGGUGAAUACGUUCCCGGGCCUUGUACACACCGCCCGUCACACCAUGAGAGUUUGUAACACCCAAAGUCGGUGGGGUAACCCUUCGGGGAACUAGCCGCCUAAGGUGGGACAAAUGAUUAGGGUGAAGUCGUAACAAGGUAGCCGUA